UCCUGGUCUGAUCACUUGUCUUGUGAAUAUUCUCAGCCUCUACUCUUGGCCUGGAAUACACUGGACAUAAAGGGGAAUGCUGCGCCCCAAGGGUAUUUCCCGUGCUCUAAAUGCUGACCAGGGUUGCAGCUAACGGGAGUGAAACCAGCCCAGUAGAGGUCAGAGAAGGGAGAAGUAAGGCACCAUGAUAAACCCUGACACACCUGACUGGCCUGUGAACAACUAAAAUUCCUGCCCUUCUAAGAACAGUCCUCCCAGCACUCCCUCUUAAGAGGCACCUUCCACAGUUUUCUGGACCCUUUGGAAUUCCUCGGUGUCAUGACCAAAGUAGGAUAGAGGUCCAGAGCUAUACACAGCACCCUCCAUUUGCCAUCUGUCUCCUGGUCAUCUGAAUGGGGUCAUCAUCAUGUUAAUCAGUACCAGAGACCCAGUUUCAGCUGAAGAUCAUAUUCCAGAAUGUAUUCUCAGAGUAACGUAUUCAAAGGAAAAUGAAUAAUCACCAGCUCACCCAGCGUCAUUAAUCCCCAGUAAGUAAGUGCACUCCAGCAUGAACGCAUUAAUUCUCCUUACCCAAGUUUUCAGAUUUAAAAUAAAUGUUUGAUGUA
Molecule: non-coding RNA, 605 nt
Organism: Phascolarctos cinereus (koala)
Lineage: Eukaryota; Metazoa; Chordata; Mammalia; Diprotodontia; Phascolarctidae
Source: RefSeq, a predicted model, not a curated record